Molecule: long non-coding RNA, 368 nt
Organism: Bombus pascuorum
Lineage: Eukaryota; Metazoa; Arthropoda; Insecta; Hymenoptera; Apidae
Exons: 2
Source: RefSeq, a predicted model, not a curated record
GCCCGGUCCACCGACGCCUGCCGAUCGACCCCUGCUGCUCAGUCCACCGAACAAGCUAAUGUCACCCAAGGGUAGUCGUGUAGUGAGCUAAGCUACCUUUCACCAUGCCAUUUAAAGCCAAAAAAGAAGUAGUGUGCACUUACGAUGUUACCAACCUAAAGUCGCUAUCAGCGACGAUGGAACAGUUGUGAUCGAGAUCUUCGCUAUCGUCACCGGAAGUGUGUCCGCUCUGAUUCUCGUGCCGAUGAAUAACCACCACUUCCUCGUCCUCGGAAUCGCCUGCGACUCCAUCGCAAGAUCUCUCGACCUCUGGGUCGCUAUCCUGCGACGAGGUCGGCGAAUCGUCUAUCAUCACAUCGUGAACGAGC